UAGACAUGCACAAUUCCAAGGUCAAUGAUAUUUUAUAAAAAAAUCUCCAUCCAAAUUGCAUUUCUUGUCUCUCAAUUUUAUAUAUAUAAACCAAUCAGAGUUUUAGGUAUCUAUCAUUUUUCUUACCUUUCCUCCCCACCUUUUUUUUUUUAUAAGUUAGGCUGCUAAUGCUCAAACCACCUAACUUCUGGAUCUUCUUAUCUGCAAGUUUUUUUAAUUUGCUUGGAUCUUGUCGCGCCUUCUACAACUGGAGCCUGUUUCUCAUCUCCAAAUAUUUCGAAGGUUUUUCCAAAGGUUGGUAAUUUGGCACUUUCUCUCUCUGCUAAAGCUGUGGCCCUUGCUUCUUGAAUUUUGGCCGUGGAGUCCUUGUGUGAACAUGAGGCAGCAAAAACAUGAGUAUAGGAGGGAAAGAACAUAGGAGUGGAAUCCAAUUGUAUAUUUAACUUCUCAAUCAUUUGACUUCUCACACAGAACAAAUUAAGCCAAGGACAAUCCUGCCCUGUUCAAAACUUUCUGGCCCUGAAAUUGUGUAACAAGUAGUGGACUCGAUGUACAUGUACUUUAAUGAAUUCUCACCAUCACGAUACUAAAAAAUUAACCAUGGUGGAAGCAAGGAAAAUGGCUGGCAUUUCUAACUCCACGGAAGCAAGUAACUUACUACUCCCCCAUUUUCCAAUCCUCUCAACUUUAACUCCUUGGAAUAGUAUACUAGAAACUAAAGCAAAUUCAUAUUCUACCAAAAAAACCCUCAUCACGAAGUUAAUACCUCUAAAGCACUCAUAACUCUAGGGAAAAAAGCGCAGCUGUGAACAACCCUACUUGUAGCCCAUGGGUUCUGAAAUAGCAUAAAGUAUGACUAUCCAAGAAUUUUCUAUUGGCAACAUAUAAUACUCAGCUCAGUACUAAAUAAAAGUGCAGAAAUGGGUGGAAAUUGGAUGACCGACAACAGAACUUCAAAAGAAUUGGUGAUGCAAGCAAUGACAGGUUUUAAGUAUGGCUUUGUAAACAUUAACUAUGUAUUUAGAAAUCCUACUAAAAAUUGCUUUCUGCCUUUCUCUCACCACUGUCAAAUAAAAUUUCACUCAAAUCUACAAUUCAUAAUUUUUCAUAUACAUCAUCGUUGUGAUGUGAGUGAAUUCAACUAAUGUGUAUGAUCCUAUGACUAUAUUAUCGACAUUAUUAUUAAUGAAAAAAAGAGUGUUCAUUCUAAAUUUAA
Molecule: long non-coding RNA, 1216 nt
Organism: Quercus robur (English oak)
Lineage: Eukaryota; Viridiplantae; Streptophyta; Magnoliopsida; Fagales; Fagaceae
Exons: 3
Source: RefSeq, a predicted model, not a curated record